UUUAUAUGAGAGUUUGAUCCUGGCUCAGGAUGAACGCCGGCGGUGUGCCUAAUACAUGCAAGUCGUACGCACUGGCCCAACUGAUUGAUGGUGCUUGCACCUGAUUGAUGAUGGAUCACCAGUGAGUGGCGAACGGGUGAGUAACACGUAGGUAACCUGCCCCGGAGCGGGGGAUAACAUUUGGAAACAGAUGCUAAUACCGCAUAACAACAAAAGCCACAUGGCUUUUGUUUGAAAGAUGGCUUUGGCUA
This 251-nucleotide ribosomal RNA is filed under the name Limosilactobacillus reuteri. RNAcentral describes it as "Lactobacillus reuteri partial 16S ribosomal RNA". It matches the Rfam family "Bacterial small subunit ribosomal RNA", at positions 1 to 220 of the family's 1533-position model. Lineage: Bacteria; Bacillati; Bacillota; Bacilli; Lactobacillales; Lactobacillaceae. The record is from RNAcentral.